This 64-nucleotide transfer RNA is filed under the name Caligus clemensi. RNAcentral's name for it is "tRNA-Tyr". Lineage: Eukaryota; Metazoa; Arthropoda; Copepoda; Siphonostomatoida; Caligidae. The record is from RNAcentral.
AAUUAAGUAGUUUAAAAAAAAAAAUAUUAAAUUGUAAAUUUAAAGAUAAAUAAUUUCUUAAUUA